UUACAGCACUUACCCCAGCAGGAAUAAUUUAGGGACAUCGCAAGGUUUUUGUGUGGCAUGCACUUAAGAUGCAUCUAUAACAAGCUUGGGUUGACAUGACCCAUCACAACUAGGAGAAGUGGAUUGUGGAUAGCGAACAAUGCAACCACUGGAUGAUUAAUGACAGUUUGAGCUGGGAACCAAAGCCAUGAACAAGAAGAAUCCCAACAUUGGACACUCCCAUGGGGCGGUUUUGCUGAGAGUGAGUCAGAGUGAGCAGUCUCCUCCCUUGGCAAAGAAGAGCCUUGUCGCGUCACAUUCCCCACAAUGUAAGAAGUUUCCUUCACUGUAAAAUCUGAGGAUUAGAAGGAGGAAUGACUUAUCGGGAGAUUGGCAAUGAUGGUUUUGAAAAUCAGGAGUCUCUCGCCUGAAUCGGAAAAUUUGGCAAGUAUAUGCCGUUUGUCAUUACGCUAGCUGACUUAAAGAACAAUGAACUUGAACUGGAAGUGACAUUAAACAGCUUGGAGCUUCCUGGAAGAAUUGUUCACAAUCUGCCAAACUGCUACUUGGGAAAAGCGCCCUGAGAUAAGCCCCUGAAGUGACAUGAGGGGAAAAAAGAAAUAUGUUCCUCAUUAGGACAAGAAACUUUGUUUCACAUGGAAGACCUUCUUCUGCUGUUACCUCUUCUUGUGCAAUGCUGCUGUGGCAGCAGACAAAGAGGGAAAAAAAGCCAAACAAGCUCGAGGGGAAACAAAUUUCAGUUGUAUUUUGUUUCCUGACUGUUGUCAAAUAAUUAUACAAUAAAAUACCAAAUGAUGGCU
Long non-coding RNA from Syngnathus acus (greater pipefish), 800 nucleotides. RefSeq lists it as uncharacterized. The transcript has 2 exons. The record is from RefSeq and is a predicted model, not a curated record. NCBI's taxonomy places the organism in Eukaryota, Metazoa, Chordata, Actinopteri, Syngnathiformes, Syngnathidae.